UCGAGCGAGUGGCGAACGGGUGAGUAACGCGUGAGGAACCUGCCUUGUACUGGGGGACAACAGUUGGAAACGACUGCUAAUACCGCAUAAGCCCACGGUGCCGCAUGACACUUUUGGGAGACAUCUCCUGGAAGUCAAAGCUUUAUGUGCUGAAAGAUGGCCUCGCGUCCGAUUAGCUAGUUGGUGAGGUAACGGCCCACCAAGGCGACGAUCGGUAGCCGGACUGAGAGGUUGAACGGCCACAUUGGGACUGAGACACGGCCCAGACUCC
This 271-nucleotide ribosomal RNA is filed under the name uncultured Oscillospiraceae bacterium. Its description in RNAcentral is "partial 16S ribosomal RNA". It matches the Rfam family "Bacterial small subunit ribosomal RNA", at positions 87 to 339 of the family's 1533-position model. The record is from RNAcentral. Lineage: Bacteria; Bacillati; Bacillota; Clostridia; Eubacteriales; Oscillospiraceae.